AGUUGAAUUAGGGUUUCCUUGGGAAACAAUCCUCCAGCCCUUUGGUUUAUCUUGAUCAAAUUGACAAAUUGAGAUACUUGGAAGGCAUAUAUGAUGAUUGAGAUCUUUGUGAACCAUUUUUAUGCUUGCUUUUAACUUCAUCUGGCCAUUCUUUGAGCAUAGGGGCCUCAUAGGAGCCUUGGAUCACAUGCUUUCUUGAGCUACAAGACAAAAGAUGUUAGUGACAUAUUUUUGCGCUUUUGGUUAGUAAACAAAAUGAGAAAAGCAAUAAUAUACAAUUCAAGCAUGCUUGGUGGUCUCAAACCAACUAACACAAGUCCCACCCUAGGGUUAAGGAGCCAAGAUGCUAUGAUCCUUGAGGCAAAUGCAAUGUGCAAUGAUAAGAUGCCAUGAGGGAUCUUAGGGUCAAAAUUAGGGUCUUACAGUUGUGAGACAGGGGGUAAUUAAAAAAGGAAAAAUACAUCUGAAAGAUGUAAAACCUCAUAGGGCCCUUAUAGUAUGAAAGUUAUGGAGAGAACUAACACAUUCAUCCACAACUUUGAUGUGUACACCACCAGUGAAGUAUAAACCAAAGAGAGGAGUUAAGAAGAGUAGAAAGGAUGUAGAGAGUGAUGUGCAUCAUGAUCCUUCAUAGUGGGAGCCUGGUGAGGGCUCGCAGGGGAGUCAAACUACAAAGAGAUCAUGCAAGAAACUAACAGGAAUUCAACCUUCAAGUCUGCCAGGUCAAAGUUACCCAUCAAGUAUGUCAGGUCAAAGUCAACCGACAAUUGCAUCUUCGAGGCAUCUUUACUUGUCUCAAUUUCCUAGUUUCUUGCAUCCCUACAUUGAUGACAUUGUUGAUGUGGGUGACGAUGGAAAUUGUAAUUUUCGCAUUAUUGCAACUUUACUUGGAUGGGGCGAAAAGUCAUUGUCGUUGGUUCAGACGCAGUUAAAUACUCAAGUUCAUCAACACCCUAAAUUGUUUUCCAAUUUAUUUUGUGACACGGUCUCUGAAGUUAGAAAUGCCUUAAAACUAGAACACUUGGGUGUGCAAGGUCGAGAAAAAUGAAUGAUGAUUCCAGAUAGGGGUUACCCUAUUGCUAGUAGGUACAAUGUCAUAUUUGUCUCGCUAUCAAAGAGACUUAACAUUUCUUUUUUCCCCCUUACAUUGGCUCCCUCUAUGUAUACGUGCAACAUAAAAUUGAAACCUGAUAGUCUAUUACAACCAAUCACUGACCGUUGGAGACAGAAUUAUACUGAAGAUGCAAAAGCAUGGGAAUCAACAUAUACAUGCCGAAUUAGGCACUAGGAAGAUGAAGUUAGGAAAUCAUUUUAAGUAGUAUUGAAAUCUUGUACGUAGAACAACUUUUGUGGUAAAUAUGUAUCUAUUAUAUAUGAUAACUUUUUAAUCGAACCAUUUAUGGAGGUCAUUGCACCAAAAAAAUUGAAAUUUCAUGUUUUUGAGAAUUCUGGGAGUAUAUUGGAAAUUUGACAUAAUUUGAAAUUUCAGGUAUACCUGAAAUUCAAAAUUUUCGGGACUUUUAACCAUUUUAUGCAAAAGUCGUGAUUUCCAGUAUAACUCUUUUGGAAAAUUUGAAAUUUCCAAUAAAUGCUUUUCGGAAAUUUGAAAUUUCCGGUACCUAUCUUACAACAGCGGUAAAAACAUGUAAGUUCACAACAAAAAAAUAGUAUUCGCUUAAAGUUUCCGGUACGAAGCUGGAAAUUUCAAAAAUUCCAAAUUUUUUACAAGGAUAUCAUGGUCAUUUCUCUUUAGUUAGGGGGGUGGGGUCAGGUUUAAUUGGGGGGUGUCAAGUUAAAUUCUCUUUAGAGAGGAUGCCCGCUGAUUAUGAGUUGUAUGAGCAUUUACUAUGACAGUUCUUUUCGUGAAAGGUGGACCCAUGUAAAGUGAUUAUGUGUAUUUUUAUGCUUUCGUUAAAAUUAGAACGAAUCAUAAUUACUAUGUUAUUAUGAUUUUUUAUUUCUUAUGUGCAUUUAUGUAAAACUCAAAUGAAAAAGGUUAAAAUAACCUUACAUAUUGGGAACAAUAAUGACUAAACAUACAUAAGAAUCAUAACACACUAAAAAUUAAAAAAUAUUAAAUUUUUGGUGCACAAGAUGAAGCAGCUGAAGAUGGAAUAAGAGAGAGAAUAGAGAUAAUUUAAAUAACAAACUUCCACAACUUUUCAAAACAGUUACAGUAAAUGGUUACACAAUACUCUAUUGACAACUACACAUGUUUAUAUAUACAAACAAUAAUGCCACGCAGGCGAAAAUGCUAACCUACAUUAGCUAAGUUAUGCUUAACAAAACUAAUACUAAUAUUGAAUAUCUAUUAUUUCUAACAUUAUACCUUAUUUCAUAUUCAACUAAUCAAAAUUAACAACACAAAUUCCAUUCGUUAAGUGGAUAAAAUGAUGAGUCUUGAUCGCUUUUGUCAGAACAUCUGCAAGUUACUUCUGGGUGCUACAUCGUAUAACUUCUACCACUCCAUUGUAAACCUGACUUUUAAGAAAGUGAUACUUAGUAUCAAUAUGAUUUCUCCUCCCAUGCAACACUAGGUUCUUGGCAAGAUUGAUUGCAGACUUGUUAUCAAUCAUCAACUUCAGAGGCUUGUUUACCUUGAUCUUCAGAUCCUACAGUAAAUUCAGAACGCAAAUAGUUUGACAUGAAACCACAACACCUAUAAUGUAUUCAACAUCACAGGUUGAUAAAGCAAUAACGGGUUGCUUCUUGGAACACCAAGAAAUAUGACCUCCUAGAUACUUGAACAAAUAUCUAGAAAUACUUCUUCUUUCAACUCUAUCUCCACACCAAUCAGAGCCUGGGUAACACAUCAACUAUGAAUUAGCUUUUUCACCAGAAGGGAACAACACUCCAUACUACAUAGUCCCUUUAAUAUACCUCAGAAUCCUGACAACAACUUGGUAAUGAGACCACUUCGGGUUACUCAUGAACCUACUAACCAUUCCAACUGCAUAGCAAAUAUCUGCUCUGGUAUUACACAAAUACUUCAGAGAGACACCCAAAUGAUUGAAAUUUGUAGCAUAUACAUCAUCACCUUCAGGGUCAGAACCCAAUUUAUGAUUUGUUUCUGAAGGUGUGACAACGGCCUUACAAUCCAGCAACUCAAAUAUCUUCAGAAGCUCAAGUUCAUACUUCAACUGAUGCAAAAUGAUACCCUUCUCGAAGUACAAAAUCUACAUCCCUAGAAAGUAUAUCAUAUUUCCCAUAUCAAUCAUCUCAAACUCAUUCAUCACCACCUUCUUGAACUUCAUUAUCUCAUCUGAACAACUUCCUGUCAGCAAUAUGGCAUUAAUAUAUAGACACACCAAAAUCAUAUUUCCUUCAGAAGGAUACUGAACAUAAACGUCUUACUCCAUCUCAGACUUUCUGAAUCUUUGGAGCUUGAAAAAUGAAUUUAUUUUUAGAUUCCAAGCUCUAGGAGCUUGUUUCAGUCCAUACAACGCUUUAUGUAACAUGUACGCCAUCCCUUCCCGAUUCUUAAAUCCAGGAGGUUGUGACAUAUAUACCACUUCUUGCAAUGGACCGUUCAGAAAUGCAGAUUUCACAUUUAAAUGCAUCAGAGGCCAAUUCCUGUUAGCAGUUAUCAUAAUCACCAGUUUGAUUGUCUCAUGUCUUUCUCGGGAGAAAACACCUCAUAGUAGUCUAACCCGGUUUCUAUAGAAAAACUCUUUCCAAUGACCUUGCUUUGUAUUGGCCAAUUGAUCCAUUUGGCUUCAGUUUCACCUUGAAAAACCAUCUGACGCUGAUGGAUUUCUUGUCCUUUGGAAGCUCAGUAAACUCCCAAGUUUUGCUUCUUUCUAUAGCCUUAAGUUCUUCUUUCAUGGCCUUCACCCAUGCUUUCUUCUUGAGCACUUCUUCAACAUUAAAUGGUUCAGAUUCUACUAACAUGGAACACUGAAUGACUUCUCCCUCAAAGUCUAUUUCAGUAUCUUGUAUCAUGUCAAACUCUGCAAAUCUUAUUGGAAUGUUUCUGAUUCUUUGUGGCCUCUGAACUUGUUCAGAAUCUUCUUCGGGCGCUGGAACAGUCUCAUAGUUGGAACCCCAUAAGUACCACCUUCAGAGGCAUGACCACCUUUAGAGUGUGGAAUAUUUCUAGAGUAUGGAUUUCCACCAGAGUUAGAAUCUCCAUCAGGAUCAGAUUCACCUUUAGAGUCAGACUCGCCUUCCGAGUCACUAUCAGACUUUGAAUCACCUUUAGAGGCAGAAUCCCUUUCAGAAGCAGAUUCUCCUUAAGAGUUGCCUUUUGAUUAUGACUCAUCUUUAGAAGUUAACUCACCAGAGUUGGAUUGAAAUUUGUUUCAAUCCCACACUUAUGUUUUUUUCACAAUGACAUCUCCGUUGAACUCAACCUUGUUAAUGACAGGAAAGUAGAGCUUAUAAGCACAUGUAUUGUGGUACCCUAAAAGCAAUAUAACUUUGCUUCUGUCAUUCGACUUCACUCUCUUAGCAUCUAGAACAUGUUUGUAAUAAAUAGAAUCAAACACCUUCACAUGGAUCACACUUUGCUUAUCUCUAGUCUACAUCUCUAAUGGAACAAUUUCCUUCAGCUUUUUGGUUGGACACCUGUUGAGCACAUAUGUUGCAGUGGUAACAGCUUCUCCCCACAAGGUGUAAGGAAGUUUUUUCUCCUUCAGUAGACUCCUUGUUGUCGUACCCCAGUUUUGUCCAGGCAUUUUCAAAUUUUCGUAAAUUUGAUUUCAUUUUCAAUUUGCAUCAUAUGCAUAGCAUGACAUGCAUUUCAUUAUGAAUAAUACCUAAGAUAUCAGUCGGAAUAAAUUAUUGAAAAUACAGACAAAUUGGUUAAAUCAUUUCUUAAGAACGUGCAAAAUCAGCGGGUAAAAAAUUUCAAAAUUAAAAAUCGCAGAUGCCAAUAUUAUUAAUUUACGGUUCACGUAGUUUAACUUGGUGUGCUCGUUAUAUUUUUCAGUGACUUUUUCAGUUGCAUUUUGACCCGUCUGAGUCUUUCAACCAGUAAAAAUUUAUUUCAGAAUUUGAAGAAACGCUGUAUUUUUUCAAUAAGUAUAUUUCAUGCUGAUCAUUUUAGUGCAUCCGAUUUAAUUUUUCGAGCAAAUUUUCAUCCGACUUCUAUUUAUAAUCGGUCAUUUUAUUUCUUUGUUCAAGUAUCCAAAUUAGAGAUUGUUUUAUUAUUAUUAUUAUUACUAUUAUUAUUAUUAUUAUUAUUAUUAUUAUUUAAAUUGAAAUGGUAUUUAGAAAUUUUUAAUAAGCAUUUUUCUUUAAUAAUAGAUAAUAAUAAUAAUUGUUGUCAAAAGAAAAUAUAUCAGCAUCGGAUUCCUUGACAGCUAGCAAGAUUCACUCUUAUCCCUAUUGGAUUUCUUUUGGCUGAAAUGGAAAUCCCUUCCAAUCAGUGGAGGACACGUAACCACAUGGUCCCCCACUCUCAAUGGUCAUCUCUCUCUUAAUCCUCCCUCUUUCCACUCAUAAUAGGGGCUAACACGAAAAAGAAAAAAAAGAAGAAAAAGUUGAGCACGAAAAAGAAGAUGGAAAAACUCACUCACCUCACGUCUCUCUCUCUCCCCCACUCAUUUUACUCCACCCACUCUUCUCUCUCUCUCUCUUUCAUAAUAAUGACUAACCCUCUUCUCUUUCUGAUCACUCAAAUUCUCUUUUCAAAAAAAUAAUAAAACGAAAAGAACAAAACUCUUCAUCUUCCUUUCUCUCCACCUCACCUUCUUCCAUCACCAUCACAAAUCUGACUCUCCAAGUAAAUCUUCAUCUUCGCUUCUCCACCUUUGUUUAACCUAACGAAACACCGCGCGCCGCCGCGAUUACAUGCACAACCAAGCACUUCCCUCCUCUCACACACCCUUCACGAUAACCAUCCUUCAUUUUCCGAUAACCCAAACCCUCAGUCACCGGCGAAACCCUCAGAGCAACCACCAUCUCCGUCCGCGUCAAAGCAACGACCUCCAUACCUCCGUCCUCCAUCGAAAUGCGCCACGAUCCGAAUCACACAAACAACCUUCACAACCAUGACAAUACCACAUCCCUUGAUGUUUUCUAGAUGAUUGAAAGCGUUUUAAAAUUAUCUACUUCCUAGAUUUGGUUGUUGAUGGUCCGAUGGCGACUUCAAUGCACAAUAGAGCUUUGAGCUCAAUCCAUGGACAUUUCUGCUUGGGCGAGAACAAGGGAGAAAACCUCAUGUUUUCUGGAAGGACGUGAGCAAUAAAGCACAGAAGCAACCACAUCAAUCCUUGGACAAUCGGUAAUGUUUAAGUUCGUAUGUUGUAUAGAUUAAAUUCAAGAUUUGUUUUCUGUUUAAGCUAUUUUAGUGAAUUGAGAUUGGAGUUUUCAUGUUGAAAACUUUGAGUUGAUUGUUUGAUAUUCAUUUCGACUGGGUGUGUUUGCCAAAUUUGUUCGGGCGUGAGCUUAUUGUGAGUUUUAUUAUGAGUUGCUUAUUUGAUAUUCCACAUUGUAGUGAUGGUUACAGGUUAUGAAAUAUUGGUUCAUGUUGCAAAUGUAUGGUGAGGCGUUGAAAAUAUGUUGCUUGCAACACUUGUGAUAUUGUGCCAGUAAAUGAAGAAUUGGAAAAAGAGAUCCUAUUUAGUUGUUUUUAUUUAACAUUAAUUUAGCAUGAUUGGUUAAUUGUUUUUUUGAGACUUGAGUUUAAAAUUCAGAUUUUGGGUCAUUUGAAUGGUUAAGAGAUGGGCUCGUUCUUUUACUAGCUUAGUGUAUCCUGGCUUUACUAAUAAUAAAUUUCCAUAUGUUGUAUUAAAUUUGUAAGGAUGUGUGCGAUUGAUGUUUCUGUUUGCGUUGCUUGAUAGAAUUUAUAAUCAAUGGACUCGACAAUAUAUGUCGUUAUGCCACCAAAAACCCAAUAUAUCAAUAGAAUAUUUUCACCGCGUUCGGAUCUUGCGAAUCAUAUUGGGCAUGUUAUUGUUUCGCACAAACCGGUUCGAGCACACCGAC
RNAcentral lists this long non-coding RNA (6930 nucleotides) under Lathyrus oleraceus (garden pea). RNAcentral's name for it is "Pisum sativum (pea) long non-coding RNA (PSAT_LNC031617)". The record is from RNAcentral. Lineage: Eukaryota; Viridiplantae; Streptophyta; Magnoliopsida; Fabales; Fabaceae.